GAGGAGGGAGGAUGCGGAGACGGGAGAGGGAGGGAGGAGGCUAGGGUUUUUCUGCUGUCGAGCUGUUAAACCUGAAAACUUUAGCCGACGAAAUAAUUAUUUCGUCGGCUAAAGCUAAGAAUCUCGUCGGCUAAGAAUCAAUUCGUCGGCUAAACCUUCUAAAUUCGUCGGCUAAAGUAUUUUAUACAUUUGGCACAUUGUGAUUGUGAUGAUCAAACUUGAGAAAAAGAAAUCCGACCAUCAGAUUUGACCACCAUGACAAAAUACAUGUAUGACCAAAAAUUCAACUUGAUCCGACAAGAAUAAGGGCUCGAUCCGGACGGUCAAUCUCCUAAGUCAAACCCCUAAACGCACGGAAAAGGUCGUUCGACCGUCUAAAUUACGUAUUUUGGCCGGACCUUCAACUAAAAAUAGUUUGAAAUCGAUGACAUGCAACAAGUCGUAUAAAAAUUUUACGCAAAAUAACCACCGAAUAUAGGGCUACUGAUAGGGGAAAGAAUGAAAAAUUGCAUUGACCGCAACUAUCGGCACCGAAUAUUUACCGGAAUAGUGUGAUUUUUCAACCGUGGAUGUAUUUCAACAUUCUCGUCAUAUCUUAUUUCAUGACUUUUUUGCGUUUGAAGGUUUUACGUAUAGUUUGUUUUUGAAACGGAACAUUUACAUAACACUUGGUAAACAAGUUAUAUAACAUUAAUAUGUAUGUUGUGAUUGUGAUGAUCAAACUUGAGAAACAGAAAUCCGACCAUCAGAUCUGACCAUCAUGACAAAAUACAUGUAUGGGAAAAAAUUCAACUUGAUCCGAAAAUAAUAAGGGCUCGAUCCGGACGGUCAAUCUCGUAAGUCAAACCCCUAAACGCACGGAAAAGGUUGUUCGACCGUCUAAAUUACGUAUUUUUGACCGGACCUCCAACUGAAAAUAGUUUCAAACCGAUGAGACGCAAGAAGUCGUCUAAAAAUUUUACGGAAAAUAACCCCCGAAGAUAGGGCUAUAGUAGGUAAUAGAAAUUUUUAGGGUUUAGCCGACGAAUACCCUAACGUAUUCGUCGGCUAUAGUAUGUAAUUAAAAAAU
Molecule: long non-coding RNA, 1069 nt
Filed under: Fragaria vesca (wild strawberry)
Lineage: Eukaryota; Viridiplantae; Streptophyta; Magnoliopsida; Rosales; Rosaceae
Description: long non-coding RNA (FVES_LNC005435)
Source: RNAcentral